RNAcentral lists this long non-coding RNA (295 nucleotides) under Homo sapiens (human). RNAcentral's name for it is "non-protein coding lnc-PGGT1B-5:1". The record is from RNAcentral. Lineage: Eukaryota; Metazoa; Chordata; Mammalia; Primates; Hominidae.
GCCCAAGUGGAAAGUCAGCUCAGCAGAAGGGGAAGUGAAGGAAGAGCCCAAGAGGAGAUUCUUGCAAUUGUCAUCUAAACCUGCUCCUACAAAAGCAGAAAUGAAGCCAAAAAAGGCAGUCAUGAAAGGAUAAAUCUUCAGACACAAAGUGCAAACCGAAGGGAAAAGGAGAACAAAAGGAAAACUGGCCAAAGUGGCUAACCAAUAAACUAAAGAAGACUUAUCUGCAGAAAACAAAGAAACUAAAACCAAAGAGGGUCCUGCCUUUGAUGAAGGCUGAGGGAAAGAAGCCAAG